UACGUAGGGGGCAAGCGUUGUUCGGAAUUACUGGGCGUAAAGGGCGCGUAGGCGGCACGGCAAGUCAGGAGUGAAAGCCCGGGGCUCAACCCCGGAAUGUCUUUUGAAACUGCCGAGCUAGAGUGCGGAAGAGGCAACUGGAAUUCCCAGUGUAGCGGUGAAAUGCGUAGAUAUCUGGAGGAACACCGGUGGCGAAGGCGACAUCCUGGACCGGUAUUGACGCUGAGGCGCGAAAGCCAGGGGAGCAAACGGG
RNAcentral lists this ribosomal RNA (253 nucleotides) under uncultured bacterium. RNAcentral's name for it is "partial 16S ribosomal RNA". It matches the Rfam family "Bacterial small subunit ribosomal RNA", at positions 524 to 776 of the family's 1533-position model. The record is from RNAcentral.